Molecule: non-coding RNA, 29 nt
Filed under: Mus musculus (house mouse)
Lineage: Eukaryota; Metazoa; Chordata; Mammalia; Rodentia; Muridae
Also listed under: 1 other name
Source: RNAcentral
UUGGCGACUUGUGCCUUUGGGAUGUCUUU